This 253-nucleotide ribosomal RNA is filed under the name uncultured bacterium. RNAcentral's name for it is "partial 16S ribosomal RNA". It matches the Rfam family "Bacterial small subunit ribosomal RNA", at positions 524 to 776 of the family's 1533-position model. The record is from RNAcentral.
UACGUAGGGGGCAAGCGUUGUCCGGAUUUAUUGGGCGUAAAGCGCACGCAGGCGGUCUCUUAAGUUUCGAGUGACAGGUGGUGGCUCAACUGCCACAGGCCUUGGAAAACUGGGAGACUUGAGGACUUCAGAGGGAUGCGGAAUUCCAGGUGGAGCGGUGAAAUGCGUAGAUAUCAGGAGGAACACCGGUGGCGAAGGCGGUUCUCUGGGCAUUACCUGACGCUGAGGAGCGAAAGUGUGGGGAGCAAACAGG